AAAAUUUGAUGGGUGUCGCCGCCCAAUCAAAUUUGAUGUCCAUUUUAAAAUGCAGUAUAGCUAGGGAAUGACCCCUAGGUCGUCUCCCAAAGACCAAUUUUGCGAUUCAGAAUCAAGUCAAACACACAGUGGGGGGGUUUGAAAGUAUUUCAUAUGAGAAUUACACUAAAUUAAAAUGCAUAGAAAUUAAACACAACUCGAAUAUGAUAGAAAGCAUUUAAAAAAAAAAUAAAAAAAUAAAAUGAAAUAAAAAUAAAAACUCAACCUACAAUUCAAACUAAUUUAAAAUAAAAGAAAAUAAAAUAAAAAAUUAAAGUUUAUCUAAAACCUAAACUAAUUUAAAAUAAAAGAAAAAUAAAAUAAAUAAAAAAUCAUAAAGUUUCUUCUACCAAAAGGUGCCAUGUGUAUCUACCAAAUAUAAUAAAAUGAGAUUGCAAAUGGCCUAAAAGGAAAACCCAUUUAGCCGUGANGGUAAUUCUCCAAAGUGAAUAAAAUGAAUUUGCUUGCAAUGUGAUCCGUGCCUCCUUCUUCCAGCACAAAAACCGAGUGCCACUUUAAUUAAUCACCAAAAUUCAAUUCCCUUUGCCGUGAAAAAAAAAAUAUAGCAAGUGUACCUAAAUUCAUUNUAACANAACACGGACACUGCACCCUUUCUAACCACUAUUCCC
RNAcentral lists this long non-coding RNA (668 nucleotides) under Vigna radiata. RNAcentral's name for it is "long non-coding RNA (VRAD_LNC011682)". Lineage: Eukaryota; Viridiplantae; Streptophyta; Magnoliopsida; Fabales; Fabaceae. The record is from RNAcentral.